Molecule: transfer RNA, 73 nt
Filed under: Cyathus striatus
Lineage: Eukaryota; Fungi; Basidiomycota; Agaricomycetes; Agaricales; Nidulariaceae
Description: tRNA-Asn
Rfam family: tRNA
About the family: Transfer RNA (tRNA) molecules are approximately 80 nucleotides in length. Their secondary structure includes four short double-helical elements and three loops (D, anti-codon, and T loops).
Source: RNAcentral
GGUCUUAUGGUUGAGUGGUUUAGGCGGGGUGCUGUUAAUACCCUUUACGAAGGUUCGAAUCCUUCUAAGACCU